AUUCAGCCUCUGUCACACUCUGUGGAUCAGAAACAACCUGGUGAAAUAUUGAAGAAGAUGUACAGAAAAAAAUUGCCAGAUACAUCAGGUGCAAGCGUCGUUACCGAAGGGAGUGAGCCUUCUCCUUCAAACUCUCAGUCAUUGCACUUCCCAUCCGACAUCGGUGGUAUAGAAAACCAAGGUUUCAGCUCGUCGGAUAUCAGACUKCAGGAGUUGGGUUUCAGAAAUGACAGAUCAACAAAUCUAAGCAUUUAAUGGCUCACCAUGCACGGCUUUGGAUCGAACAAGAUAAAAAARAWAAGCCCUUUCUUUAAACACGAUGUAAAUAUUGUAGAUGGCUCAUAGGUCAUCAGAAAAGUUUGUAGAAUAAGAUGUUUUCAGUGCUGCUUGCAUAGUUAUCAAAGUGUUAUUAAAGAUUUCAUUUGUGUUUCUUCAAGCAUAUUUUUUUCUCGGAAAAUAUGCUUGAAGAAACAUAAAUAAAAUCUUUCAUUUGUAGAAUAAGAUGUGACAAAACAACAAGAGGAAAUUGAUCAAAAAGACAAACUCACUUUGUAAUAUGGCCCUAAAUCACUUUGACUUUUGAACUUUUGACAUUUUUGAUUUUGAAUUUUUUUUUGUCCGCACCCGGGCCGGCCACCAUAUUUCUUUAAYAAGCUGGCGUUUACACUGCUGUGGCUGUCGUUUAAUUCAGUACAACUGAGAAUUAAAAAGGGGUUAUCCGAAAUAUAACAAACAAACAAAAAAUAUUUUCAUAUUUUAUGUUUGUUAUAUUGCCAAGGGGCAGCUAUGGUUGAAGAUAUUCAGUAUUUGAUAUCAUAGGACAAAUGACGGAUACAAAGUUUUAUUAAAUUUCCGGAUACGUGUGGACGGGGCCUAAUAAACUGAAAUGAAAGAUCAAAUGAACAUAAAGYGUGUUAAGGAUCCCAACUGGUAARGAGGCUAUUAAAAAGCAUGGUCRAGAAACUGAAUCUGAACUAAUCAGGAAUCAGAACGAAUACAGUCUCAGCUAGUGGCCACAGCGGGGCUCAAACCCGGCACCACCGGAUUGCGAGACCGACUAUGACCACUCGGCCAUGCUGCCUCCCUCAUUUAACGUAUACUCCCUCYUAUUACGGUCCUUUGGAGUCGUAAACAAUGUCCGAUAAGUGUUUGCAUAUUUAAGCGAUCAAUACAAUAAAAUCGUUAAAUGCUU
Actinia tenebrosa (Australian red waratah sea anemone) is the source of this 1192-nucleotide long non-coding RNA. NCBI's taxonomy places the organism in Eukaryota, Metazoa, Cnidaria, Anthozoa, Actiniaria, Actiniidae. The record is from RefSeq and is a predicted model, not a curated record.